RNAcentral lists this ribosomal RNA (474 nucleotides) under uncultured bacterium. Its description in RNAcentral is "partial 16S ribosomal RNA". The stretch from base 20 to 303 matches the Rfam family "Bacterial small subunit ribosomal RNA", at positions 47 to 358 of the family's 1533-position model. The record is from RNAcentral.
AACGAACGCUGGCGGCAUGCCUAACACAUGCAAGUCGAACGAGACCUUCGGGUCUAGUGGCGCACGGGUGCGUAACGCGUGGGAACCUGCCCUUAGGUUCGGAAUAACUCCCCGAAAGGGGUGCUAAUACCGGAUAAUGUCUUCGGACCAAAGAUUUAUCGCCUUUGGAUGGGCCCGCGUUGGAUUAGCUAGUUGGUAGGGUAAAAGCCUACCAAGGCGACGAUCCAUAGCUGGUCUGAGAGGAUGAUCAGCCACACUGGGACUGAGACACGGCCCAGACGCGGAGGGGGUGGAGGAGGGGAGAAGAGAGAAGGAGGGGGGAAAGACAGGACAAGCAGGGGGGUGGUGGUGAGGUAGGUUGGAGGGGUAUAAAGUGUUUGUGCGCGGGAAGAGAAAAGAUGCACGGGGAGAAUACGGUCCGACUCACCCCGCGACAGCGGCGGGGGUAAUAAACGUAAGAGCAGACGUCUAACC